UCUUUCUAAUGAAGGUGUGUGGAGAAAAAUAAGAAGUAUGGCGGUCUUUAAUCUUGUCAGAGGGACAUGUAUUGAAAUAACGAAUUUGCACGAUAAUCUGUCCCAAUUUUGAAUAAUUCAUUUUGUACACCGCUGUCUGAAAAAAAUUAUGAAAAUAUUUUUUCUUUUCCCUUUAGGAGAUAAGACAAGUUAAGGUGCAGGUUAUAGUUGGGGUGAUAUGUGUUCCAAUGGGAAUAUUGGAUUAAUAGUUGGAAAUAGUUAAGAAAAAGAAUUUGAUAGUAAAAUUGGUGAAUUAAACUGAUUUGAAGAUGAGCUAUAAAAGGUGU
Molecule: ribosomal RNA, 326 nt
Filed under: Guimaraesiella sp. IZGAS 16_J1047
Lineage: Eukaryota; Metazoa; Arthropoda; Insecta; Psocodea; Philopteridae
Description: partial small subunit ribosomal RNA
Source: RNAcentral